GUUUCUGUAGUGUAAUGGAAUAGCACUGCAGACCGGAUAUCUGUAAGUGCUGGUUCGAAUCCUGCCUGAGGUU
This 73-nucleotide transfer RNA is filed under the name Dictyocaulus viviparus (bovine lungworm). It matches the Rfam family "tRNA". From Rfam's summary of the family: Transfer RNA (tRNA) molecules are approximately 80 nucleotides in length. Their secondary structure includes four short double-helical elements and three loops (D, anti-codon, and T loops). The record is from Rfam by way of RNAcentral. Lineage: Eukaryota; Metazoa; Nematoda; Chromadorea; Rhabditida; Metastrongylidae.